GUCCGUGGUUCAUAGGUUGCUUCAAUUACCUCUUGUUUCCUUCCUUUCGUUUUUCUUUGUUGUUCGUCUACCAUUUUGCUUCCUUUCUUUGUUCUUUGUCGUUGUUAGGCGUCCAUUUUUCCAAAACCCAUUAGGGUUUCUUGUCUACUGUUGAAACUCGUGAGAAUUCCAUUGAAGUGAUACAAGAAGGUCAGUAACUAUUUUUCCUAAUCUUGUAGGUGUUAGUAUUUUUGUUUACAUUUUCGUUUUUUGGUCGAUUAAGCGUGUCCUUGUUGGGUAUUUUGAUUGAAGAUCCGAAAUGUUUGUUGGGCAAAUUUGAAAACCAAAAGUAGUUGUUCAUGUUUAUAGUGGUUCAUUAUAUAAUCCUUCAUUUUGUUUUAUAGUUUUUUAUCCCAGUCUUGAUACUUCGGGAUUUUGACUACUGAACAUUGCUAUAUUUCAUCCACAUGCUAUAAAGUUGUUAAUUUCUGGAGGAGGUGCAGUCCUGGAAGCGACGUCGAAGCUUCUGGAGCCUUCUAGCGACGAUCGCCGAAGAAUUCGCGACUAGGUUUUUCCGCCCACGAGAAAGGGGGAAAAACGGAUAAAACUGUCGCUGGAGAGAGAAGAAAGGGGAAGAAUGAUUUGGGGGGAAAUAUGAAAAAAUGUUAAUCUUUUACUUUGAUUAACUUGUGUAAUUCUUAUUUUAUUAAACCCAGUUUACAACCCAAUCAUUUAU
This 715-nucleotide long non-coding RNA is filed under the name Zostera marina. RNAcentral describes it as "long non-coding RNA (ZMAR_LNC001012)". Lineage: Eukaryota; Viridiplantae; Streptophyta; Magnoliopsida; Alismatales; Zosteraceae. The record is from RNAcentral.